This 917-nucleotide ribosomal RNA is filed under the name freshwater sediment metagenome. RNAcentral describes it as "bacterial SSU rRNA". It matches the Rfam family "Bacterial small subunit ribosomal RNA", at positions 8 to 924 of the family's 1533-position model. The record is from RNAcentral.
AGAGUUUGAUCCUGGCUCAGAUUGAACGCUGGCGGAAUGCUUUACACAUGCAAGUCGAACGGCAGCACGGGGCAACCUGGUGGCGAGUGGCGAACGGGUGAGUAAUAUAUCGGAACGUGCCCAAUCGUGGGGGAUAACGUAGCGAAAGUUACGCUAAUACCGCAUACGAUCUACGGAUGAAAGCGGGGGAUCGCAAGACCUCGCGCGAAUGGAGCGGCCGAUAUCAGAUUAGGUAGUUGGUGGGGUAAAGGCUCACCAAGCCAACGAUCUGUAGCUGGUCUGAGAGGACGACCAGCCACACUGGAACUGAGACACGGUCCAGACUCCUACGGGAGGCAGCAGUGGGGAAUUUUGGACAAUGGGCGCAAGCCUGAUCCAGCCAUUCCGCGUGCAGGAUGAAGGCCUUCGGGUUGUAAACUGCUUUUGUACGGAACGAAACGGUCUGCCCUAAUACGGUGGGCUAAUGACGGUACCGUAAGAAUAAGCACCGGCUAACUACGUGCCAGCAGCCGCGGUAAUACGUAGGGUGCAAGCGUUAAUCGGAAUUACUGGGCGUAAAGCGUGCGCAGGCGGUUAUAUAAGACAGAUGUGAAAUCCCCGGGCUCAACCUGGGAACUGCAUUUGUGACUGUAUAGCUAGAGUACGGCAGAGGGGGAUGGAAUUCCGCGUGUAGCAGUGAAAUGCGUAGAUAUGCGGAGGAACACCGAUGGCGAAGGCAAUCCCCUGGGCCUGUACUGACGCUCAUGCACGAAAGCGUGGGGAGCAAACAGGAUUAGAUACCCUGGUAGUCCACGCCCUAAACGAUGUCAACUGGUUGUUGGGUCUUCACUGACUCAGUAACGAAGCUAACGCGUGAAGUUGACCGCCUGGGGAGUACGGCCGCAAGGUUAAACUCAAAGGAAUUGACGGGGACCCGC